UACGGAGGAUCCAAGCGUUGUCCGGAUUUAUUGGGUUUAAAGGGUGCGUAGGCGGGUUAUUAAGUCAGUGGUGAAAGCCGGCAGCUCAACUGUCGAACUGCCAUUGAAACUGAUAGUCUAGAAUGUAGUAGAGGUAGGCGGAAUGUAUCAUGUAGCGGUGAAAUGUGUAGAGAUCGGGAGGAACACCGGUGGCGAAGGCGGCCUUCUGGACGGUGACUGACGCUGAGGCGCGAAAGCGUGGGGAGCAAACGGG
This 253-nucleotide ribosomal RNA is filed under the name uncultured bacterium. RNAcentral's name for it is "partial 16S ribosomal RNA". It matches the Rfam family "Bacterial small subunit ribosomal RNA", at positions 524 to 776 of the family's 1533-position model. The record is from RNAcentral.